AAAAAUCUAUUUAUAUUUAUAUUUAUAUAAAUAAAUUUUUUAUGGUUUAAAAAUUUUAUUAAAAAUUUAUUUUACAUAUAAAUUUUAGUGUUAAUUUUAAUUUAUUUUAAUAAUAAAUUUUAUUAAUGAGUAGUAAUUAAUAUUAAAUAAUUUAAGAAAUUAAGAUUUAAUGAUAUUUAAAUUAAUAACAAAUUUUGUGCCAGCAGUUGCGGUUAUACAAAAAUUAAAUUAAAUUUUAUUAGUGAUUAAUAAAUAAUUAAUUAAAAAUUAAUAUAAUAAAAAUUUUAAAUUAUUAAGUGAAAUUUUAAUUUAAUAAAAAUUUAUAUGUAAAUUUAUGAUUUAAUAAAUUUUAUAAAAAACUAGGAUUAGAUACCCUAUUAUUAAAAUUUAAAUUUAAAAUACUAAAAAAGUAUAUAAUUAUUUAUGGAAACUUAAAUAAUUUGGCGGUAUUUUAGUUCAUUUAGAGGAAUCUGUUUAAUAAUUGAUAUUCCACGAGUAAAUUUACUUAAUUUAUAAUUUUGUAUAUCGUUGUUAAAAAAAUAUUUUUUAAUAAAAUUAAUAUUUGAAUAUUGAAAUAUAAAAUUAAAUCAGAUCAAGAUGCAGAUUAUAAUUAAGAAUAUAAUGGAUUACAAUAAAUAUAUUUAGAUGAAUAUUAAUUUGUAAUUAUUAAUUGAAGGUGGAUUUAAAUGUAAUUUUAUUUAAUUUAUUAAAGUGAUUAAAAAUUGAAAUAUGUACAUAUUGCCCGUCGCUUUCAUAUAAUUAAAAUUGGAAUAAGUCGUAACAAAGUAGAGGUACUGGAAAGUGUUUCUAGAAAGAA
RNAcentral lists this non-coding RNA (817 nucleotides) under Cymatophoropsis trimaculata. Lineage: Eukaryota; Metazoa; Arthropoda; Insecta; Lepidoptera; Erebidae. The record is from RNAcentral.